CUGAUAAGAGAAAAAGGCCCAAAAACACAGGGAAUAUUUAUGGCAUGUCCUAAUGGAACAUCGUGGAAUUCCCUGAAAGAAAAAUUAGAUACCGGGGAAGAAGUGAAUAUAAGAAAGCUGUCGGUGCAUGAAGUGGCUUGGCUACUAAAGGAGUUUCUUGGAUCAAUAAAAGGAAGUCUGCUCACUUCCAAAUUAUUCGACCACUGGCUUGCUGUACCCCAAAAGUUGAAUGACAAAGAAAAAUUAGCCACAGUGCGGAGGUAAU
Molecule: long non-coding RNA, 265 nt
Organism: Mastomys coucha (southern multimammate mouse)
Lineage: Eukaryota; Metazoa; Chordata; Mammalia; Rodentia; Muridae
Exons: 2
Source: RefSeq, a predicted model, not a curated record